UUCCUGGUGAUCCAGUGGUUAGGACUCUGCACUUCCACUGCAGAGGGCAUAGGUUCGAUCCCUGGUUAGAGAA
Molecule: transfer RNA, 73 nt
Filed under: Bos taurus (domestic cattle)
Lineage: Eukaryota; Metazoa; Chordata; Mammalia; Artiodactyla; Bovidae
Also listed under: 3 other names
Rfam family: tRNA
About the family: Transfer RNA (tRNA) molecules are approximately 80 nucleotides in length. Their secondary structure includes four short double-helical elements and three loops (D, anti-codon, and T loops).
Source: Rfam by way of RNAcentral